Molecule: long non-coding RNA, 1404 nt
Organism: Notolabrus celidotus (New Zealand spotty)
Lineage: Eukaryota; Metazoa; Chordata; Actinopteri; Labriformes; Labridae
Exons: 4
Source: RefSeq, a predicted model, not a curated record
GGGACAGAGAAACUGAUAAUUUGCUCGUUCGCAACAAAGAAAUUUCUUAUUAAUGCUUUGUGAUAAGCCUAAGCAAGAAAACAACAUCAUAGUGACAUGCUUGUCUUUUGUUUAAAGUUAGAUCAGAUUUCAUUUUUUACAUGUACAACAUAUUUAAUUUAAGUGAUGAACUAAUUAGGGCUAUCUCAUCUCAGUAAUUAGAGUCUGGUUAUGCAUUAAGCAUAUGAUGUGUGUGCUGCCUGUGUGCAUCAGCAUGUCGUCCUGAGGCGUUGUUCUUGUUAAGGUUAUUAGGGAAGAUGUUUGGCACUAAUCAGUGAAGGACCACAGGGACCCCCACUAAACGGUCUCAUCAUCAGAGUGCCCCAGUGGUGAUAAAUCUAGCCCCAAGCACCCAUGGGGGCCUGCAGCCAUCUCCUCCAUUCUCCUCCUCCCUCCCCUUCUCCUCCUCCUCCAUCUCUCUGUGAUCCCGCCCCGGGGCAAGCAGACAUGUAAUGUUAAGGCACUAACUCCAGAGUGUAUGGACACACACACACACACACACACAGCAGAGAGAGACCAUCAUGUGUGAAAUGAGAUCUCUGCACAAUCAGUGGGAGUCGCAGCUAUAAAGCACAUCAAGCUUUUCAGCUUUAAGAUAAACCCUUUCAUGGAUAUCCGAUGGGGAAACCAAGUGUUUGGUCUGCCAGUGAAGGGGUCCUCUUUUCGACUGAACAAACAAGAGCUGAUCGACACCUUGAUUCAGUUUGCUCAUUUUCAUACCAUACAACAGAUAAAAUCCUAAUCUGUGUUUCAAACCAGAAGUUUACAAUAGCAAAAAACAUAUUUUUAUUCUGUUUAGUUAACUCCCAAAAAAGGGCAAAUUACCUUCAAUUCAUUGCAUCACAUCACUGCAAUGUGGCAUGAUGAUGUCUCAUUCAUAUAGUCAUAUAAUAUCUCUCAUAUAUGUCAGCGAAACCGCUGAAUCCAUUUCUUUUCUAUCAUCUACAGUAGAAUUUCAUCAAAGCUCCCUCAGGUAUUCUCAAGAUGUACUGUAAAUCUUCUACCCCUUAUUUAUUGAGCAUAAAUCCUGAAUCAUAAUAGGAUGUAAGAUAUGGUUAUGUGCUUCAAUCCUCCCGUUGCUGCUGACAUGUAAGUAGGCUGAAAUAUGUUUGUAUGUAAACUCAGAGAGAUACAGUUGUGAUGGGAGGAACGGGAUUUGAAAAAUACUUCUUCUCUCUGAUGGAUGGAUACUUCAACACUACCCAGAUGGAGAGAGAGAGAUGGAAGGAAGCAGGGAGUGCUCAAGGGGCACCAGAAGGAUGAAAGAAAAGAAGAGUAGGAAUUAACAGAAAGCCUGGACUUCUAGGCUUGGACAGAAACAAGGUGUUUAUUUUUCUGUUAUUAAAGGGACAGUUGAACAUUUAA